UAGCAGAACUUGAAUUUCAACAGAGAAACUUAACAAUAACAACAACUACAACAACAACAAAAAUGUGUAUUUUAACAGCUCUACUGAAAUGCUGAAGACUUGAUCCUAUGCUUGGAAAUGGGGGAUAAAGUCAAUUGCAAGAGACAAAAAGAGCAGAGGCCUGGAAAAGGACUAUUCUACCGAACCUGGAAGGGAGAAGAUAAAUACAGCUGGACACAUGGAGGACAGAUUACUUCAUGGCUAAUUCGCAGGAAUUAAUGUGUUAGAGCCUUCAAAGAGCACGCACUACCCUUCUCUUCCCACUUGCUCUUCAGCCUUCACCUCUGAGAGGAACUCUGAUGUGGAUUAGAGAUUGCAGUUACUCUUCCUCCCACAUUGUCACCUAGUAUCUGUUGG
Molecule: long non-coding RNA, 396 nt
Filed under: Heterocephalus glaber (naked mole-rat)
Lineage: Eukaryota; Metazoa; Chordata; Mammalia; Rodentia; Bathyergidae
Description: lncRNA (ENSHGLG00000044846.1)
Source: RNAcentral